CCUACGGGUGGCAGCAGUGAGGAAUAUUGGUCAAUGGCCGUAAGGCUGAACCAGCCAAGUAGCGUGAAGGAAGAAGGAUCUAUGGUUUGUAAACUUCUUUUAUAGGGGAAUAAAGGUAUCCACGUGUGCAUAUUUGCAUGUACCCUAUGAAUAAGCAUCGGCUAACUCCGUGCCAGCAGCCGCGGUAAUACGGAGGAUGCGAGCGUUAUCCGGAUUUAUUGGGUUUAAAGGGUGCGUAGGGGGAAUGCCAAGUCAGCGGUAAAAUCUCGGGGCUCAACCUAGCUCCGCCGUUGAAACUGGGGGUCUUGAGUGGGCGAGAGGUAGGGGGAAUGCGUGGUGUAGCGGUGAAAUGCAUAGAUAUCACGAAGAACUCCGAUUGCGAAGGCAGCAUACCGGCGCCCAACUGACGCUGAAGCACGAAAGCGUGGGUAUCGAACAGGAUUAGAUAUCCGAGUAGUC
RNAcentral lists this ribosomal RNA (459 nucleotides) under uncultured bacterium. Its description in RNAcentral is "partial 16S ribosomal RNA". It matches the Rfam family "Bacterial small subunit ribosomal RNA", at positions 338 to 795 of the family's 1533-position model. The record is from RNAcentral.